CAAGAUACAUUUUGCGAGU
This 19-nucleotide small nuclear RNA is filed under the name Arabidopsis thaliana (thale cress). Its description in RNAcentral is "snRNA_09074". Lineage: Eukaryota; Viridiplantae; Streptophyta; Magnoliopsida; Brassicales; Brassicaceae. The record is from RNAcentral.